Long non-coding RNA from Musa acuminata AAA Group (dessert banana), 832 nucleotides. RefSeq lists it as uncharacterized. The record is from RefSeq and is a predicted model, not a curated record. NCBI's taxonomy places the organism in Eukaryota, Viridiplantae, Streptophyta, Magnoliopsida, Zingiberales, Musaceae. The transcript is spliced from 2 exons.
UCCCACGUAAGACCCCGGCCGGCAUCCUCGUCCGUCAUGAACUCCUCAGCGCCGCACCGAGGCAUCCACGCCGCCACAUCCUUGAGAUCAUCCACCCGGCAACCCGGUGACGAAGGUCACGAAGACGUCAUGCCCGAAGGUCUCACCAAAAUCUUGGCUUCGUCCGGCAAUUUGGUUAACCUCUACGGGAGAGCUGACAACUUGGCGUGCGCUCGUAAGUUGUUUGAUCAAAUGCCGGAGAAGAUCGUGGUUCCUCGGACUUGCUUCAUUGCUGGAUACGCUUGGAACUGGUCCCCUGACGGAUCUGUCGACUGUUUUGCUUGAUGAUCUGGGUCUCGAUUUUAGCGUGCUUUCUUCAUUUCCGGCAGCGUCGUCUUCAAGCAUGUCUUGGAAAACAAAUACAUAGGCUAAACUCAAACACCUGGCAUUCUGCAAUCAUUUUGGUGUCUUCAUGCACUGAAUUCGAUGUACAAUGAUUUCUGUUUGGAUUUCACAUGGGAUGCUCGGUGAGUGUUUCGUCAGACACCAGCAAAGAAUUCCGUCAAGUGGAUCUUAAACAUCUCAGCGAACUCACUGAGAAGGGAUGUCAUCUCUUCCUUUGAGCUGUUCUCAGGAAUUUAAACUGGGAGUUCAAUACGCUGUUUGAGACAGAGUUCUAUUGCACUCCCUCAGAAGCAGGUGUCAAGUUCCUGAGGUUAAAUUGGUGGCUCUGGCCAAGCUUUAGAAUCUUGAAGAUAGGGUUUUCAAGACUCUCUCUCUCUCUUCUGUACAUGCCCUUUUAUGCUUGUAAAACUUGAGGAAGACAAUUUCAUCAGUUUAUUCUUUUAGAACA